CCCUUAGAUGUUCUGGGCCGCACGCGCGCUACAAUGAUGAAUUCAACGAGUUUAUAACCUUGGUUGAAAAGCCUGGGUAAUCUUUUGAACUUUCGUCGUGAUGGGGCUAGACCCUUGCAAUUAUUGGUCUCCAACGAGGAAUUCCUAGUAAACGCAAGUCAUCAGCUUGCAUUGAUUACGUCCCUGCCCUUUGUACACACCGCCCGUCGCACCUACCGAUUGAAUGGUCCGGUGAAAUCUUCGGAUUGAGACUUUGAUUUCUUCACGGAAAACGCUGUUUUAAAAAGUUGAUUAAACCUUACCAUUUAGAGGAAGGUGAAGGCGUAACA
Molecule: ribosomal RNA, 329 nt
Filed under: uncultured eukaryote
Lineage: Eukaryota
Description: partial 18S ribosomal RNA
Rfam family: Eukaryotic small subunit ribosomal RNA
Source: RNAcentral